CACGUAGGGUGCGAGCGUUGUCCGGAAUUAUUGGGCGUAAAGAGCUCGUAGGCGGUGUGUCACGUCGGCCGUGAAAACCUGCAGCUUAACUGUGGGCUUGCGGUCGAUACGGGCAUCACUGGAGUUCGGCAGGGGAGACUGGAAUUCCUGGUGUAGCGGUGAAAUGCGCAGAGUAUCAGGAGGAACACCGGUGGCGAAGGCGGGUCUCUGGGCCGAUACUGACGCUGAGGAGCGAAAGCGUGGGGAGCGAACAGG
RNAcentral lists this ribosomal RNA (255 nucleotides) under uncultured bacterium. RNAcentral's name for it is "partial 16S ribosomal RNA". It matches the Rfam family "Bacterial small subunit ribosomal RNA", at positions 524 to 776 of the family's 1533-position model. The record is from RNAcentral.